CUGUGCUAGAUGGGGAGUUAGCGGUUUCCUGUAACCUGAAAUCCGCUUAUGCAGGAUUGAAUUCCGGAGGGAGGGUUCUGCUGAGAUUUAAAGAAUUAUAUAAGUGGUAUUGAAAUAAUCAGCUCUGCGCAAUAGUUUUUGAUUGAAAUCCGUCAGAUCUGGAAAGAAGCAGCGGUAGGUUAAAAUUCUAUGUGCCGNAGAUUUACUGAUUAUGAGCUAACUGUAUAGUUNUUUUUUUCUAACAGAGUAUUCAACUUUCGGUGCACAG
This 268-nucleotide signal recognition particle RNA is filed under the name Fidelibacterota bacterium. RNAcentral's name for it is "signal recognition particle sRNA large type". It matches the Rfam family "Bacterial large signal recognition particle RNA". Rfam says of the family: The signal recognition particle (SRP) is a universally conserved ribonucleoprotein involved in the co-translational targeting of proteins to membranes. Archaeal SRP consists of a 7S RNA and homologues of the eukaryotic SRP19 and SRP54 proteins. The record is from RNAcentral. Lineage: Bacteria; Pseudomonadati; Fidelibacterota.